AAAGCUCACACACCCUCACAUACCUAAAAUGGUUGGAUGACUCUUUAACAGUGGUGUUAAAAUACAAACUAGCUGCUUCUUCUUUCCAAGCACACCGACAGGCAUAGCCCCACUUGCAACAGGCAUUGGACAGUCCCACCACAACAUCCCGUCCUUUUCUAUCUUCACUUCGGAGAGCCUCCAAGACCUCUCCCAAGAUUGGCGAGCGAGCCAAGCGGCUGAAUCCAGCGGCGACAGAUGCUACAUCAAAUGUCGGGUCCUUCCAUACGUUGGAUUGUGCAGGAUCCUGCUCACUGGCCAUUUGAGGGAAAUGAUUUGGAUUCCAUUGGUCAAAAGCCUCAUUUCCAAUAAGAGCUGAUAUGAAGAGAAAUUACAAUUUAUUUUAGAAUGAAUAAUUUUAUAGACGACUUACUUCACUUUACAGGCAGUCUUACCUGCAUCUCCAAUGCUUCUCCUCCAGCGAGAGCCACCACAGGUAAAAAUGACAGCACGUAUAAAUUCUCUACCGCACAGUUUCAUUCCAUAGAAAGAGGUAUGGGCUUCACUCGGCCGUACCUUGCCUACCAGUGCCACCAAGAAACACAAUGUCAGGAGUGCUGCCUUCCACAUGUUCCUCAAAAAUCUGCUGUCGUUGUCUCACUGUCCAGAAAAGGUCUCGACAAACCCAAAUGAGGUACCUAUUUGCUGACUGUUUCAUUUUGGACAUCUUAUAUAGGCCUCGGUUUCUCAGAGAAGCACCUUUGGUCUUUAUCACAUCCAAAGAUAAGAGCUGAGACCUUUUGGGGAAACAAUGCACAUCCAGUAACAGAAAAGUUCUGGGAAUAUAGCAAAUGAUGCCACAGGUGACGUCAACAGAGUGCUCUGCAAUCUAAUCACCUGUGACCUUUUAUUUGGCCUUUCUGCCCUCACUAUAGUUUUUGUGCUUUGUGUGACACACAACAAUAUCUCAUUCAUGGCAUCUUCUCAACAAGAAAUUGAAUAGAGAUCACUUUCUCAUCAGUUUAGGUUGCUCAACAUCUCUGGUAACUCUUGUUUGGUCUGUCUGUUAUGCACAGACAUGAAUGCUCAUACACACAUUCAACACUGUUGCAUGGUCUAAAGAAUUACAAUCCUACCCUGAAACUUUAAAGUAUAGUAAACAAUAUGAUACAAACUGACUUUUAAUUCAUUAUAUACAAAUAUUUGGGAGUGCAUUGCUGCCCAUGAAGUGUGAAAUUAUGCAACAUAGUAAUGUUUUUAUUCGCUGCCCAUUUCCGAAAAUUCGUCUACUAGCAAGCAGCUCUGAAUUUUGUCAAAUUGUAAUCAAUUUGCGUUUGGCAGUGUGUCCACUGCAUGCGCCAAAUGCAUGCAUCUGACAAGAGUAAUUCCAUGGCUAAGUCAUAUAGUGUUGAUGAGUGAAAUGCUUUCAUUGUCUCUCGUGCUCUGAGCUGUUCAUAUUCACACUUUUAGAGCAAGUCGACAAUAUCUCUUAGCCUUGGGCCUGGUCACCAUGGUAACAAAAGCCAUUCUAAUGUUGGCUUACCUCACAAUGAUGGCUGAGUGAGCAGUGGCUCAUUUAAGAAAACCAAAUAAUUUCAACUGGGGUAUUAAAAAUGGAUUCUAAGUGUGCUAUUAUUCUCGUCCUAUGUUGAUCUUGAUGAACGCAUGUUGGAGAACUUUUAUUUGUGGAAA
This is a long non-coding RNA of Hippocampus zosterae (dwarf seahorse), 1671 nucleotides long. RefSeq lists it as uncharacterized. The transcript is spliced from 2 exons. NCBI's taxonomy places the organism in Eukaryota, Metazoa, Chordata, Actinopteri, Syngnathiformes, Syngnathidae. The record is from RefSeq and is a predicted model, not a curated record.